CCGUUGGUGAACCAGCGGAGGGAUCAUUACCGAGUCAUCAACUCCCAAACCCCUGUGAACAUACCACAACGUUGCCUCGGCGGGACCGCCCCGGCGCCCCUAGCGGCCCGGAACCAGGCGCCCGCCGGAGGACCCAAACUCUUGCUUUGAACAGUGGCAUACUCUCUGAGUCUCAAAAACAAAAAUAAAUUAAAACUUUCAACAACGGAUCUCUUGGCUCUG
Molecule: unclassified non-coding RNA, 222 nt
Filed under: plant metagenome
Description: partial contains small subunit ribosomal RNA, internal transcribed spacer 1, and 5.8S ribosomal RNA
Source: RNAcentral